UGCCCAUGGAUAAAUGUGUCAGAUUUGC
Molecule: non-coding RNA, 28 nt
Filed under: Mus musculus (house mouse)
Lineage: Eukaryota; Metazoa; Chordata; Mammalia; Rodentia; Muridae
Source: RNAcentral